RNAcentral lists this small RNA (1867 nucleotides) under Pan troglodytes (chimpanzee). RNAcentral's name for it is "retained intron". The record is from RNAcentral. Lineage: Eukaryota; Metazoa; Chordata; Mammalia; Primates; Hominidae.
GAGCAGACACCCAGCGCCGCCGGAACUCGGGGCGCGCAUCCCGCAAGUCGGAACGCGGCGGAUCGGAUCCCGCAGAUCAGAGACGGGGCCUGGAGGGUGGCAGCACGCAAAGGGCGUCCCUGUCCCUCAAGGGGUCAUGGCCUCCAUGUUGCUCGCCCAGCGCCUGGCCUGCAGCUUCCAGCACAGCUACCGCCUGCUGGUGCCUGGUAAGCCCCGGGGGUCUUGAUGAGAACUGGUACUAAUGGAAGAUACCACCCAGACUAGGGAUUCCUGGGCUGGAAGAGCCCUUGGGGAUAAAGGGACCAGCCAGUGAGUGUUUCUGGGACUGUCCCACUGUAUUAGUCUGUUCUCAUGCUGCUAAUAAAGGUACACCUGAGACUGGGUAUUUUAUGAAGAAAAAGAGGUUUAAUGGUCGCACAGUUUCAUAUGGCUGGGGAGGCCUCACAAUCAUGGCGGAAGGUGAAGGAGGAGCAAAGGCACGUCUUACAUGGCGACAGGCAAGAGAGCGUGUGCAGGGGAACUCCCGUUUGUAAAACCAUCAGAUCGUGUGAGACUUAUUCAAUUGACUAUCAUGAGAACAGCAUGGGAAAGACCCACCCCCGUGAUUCAAUUACCUCCCACUGGGUCCCUCCAUGACAUGUGGGAAUUAUGGGAGCUACGAUUUAAGAUGAGAUUUGAAUGAGGACACAGCCAAACCACAUCACCCACUAUCCAUAAAACUAUCACCAUCGCCACCUCCUUUCUCUCUCCCACCUCUGUCGUAUGAUCCUGUCCCAAGUGCCUCAGUCUGAUGGGAUUGGAUCCACCCUGGAGCCACUCUGCCUGCAGGUAGGCGGUGGCCUCCACAGCCAGAUGGUCCCAGGCCAUCUCUGCAGGGACCGCUGGGGAAAACACACAUCUGGGGUUGCUGCUAAGGAACAAAGAAAGCCAUAAAUGACUCUGAAAUUGACCUAAAGCCCAGCUGUGCUUCAAGGUCACUGGAUCACUGGAUGGGAGGCACCAUCUUAGGAAUGUCUCACCCCCACUCUGCCCCACACCCAUGGCCACUUGCACUGGCUCCUUCUUCCUUCUGUUUGACCUCUUUGAGACCUCCCUCCCAAUAGUCCCAUGAGGGAGGCUCAAGUGAAUCCUAUUUUAUAGGUGAGAGAACUCAGGCUUAGAGAAGCAAAGCCAUUUGCCCAAGGUCACACAGCCACUUGCAAGCAACUCUGUCCGGCUCCAGUGCUAACUACUUCUCCGUGUGCUUCCAUGUGGCUCUGGAGACAGAGCCGCCAGCAGGAGCCUCCCUUCACAUGGUCCAAGGGUGGCCUCCUGCAGAGAUAUAAACUGCCUGGCUCAGGGCUGGCCAUGAAAUAGGUUCAGAAAGACCAGUGAGCCUCCAGUCUGUCCCCAGCUCUCUCAGAGCCCCUGUGCUUGUCAUCAUGGUGUCCCUUGUUGUCAGGCCUUACUGCCUUCUGAAGACAAACUGCUAGCCGUGUCCUUGGUCUGCAUGUUGAAUGCUGGUGUGUAUGUCCUGGGUGGGAUAAACAGUAGGAGUGUUCGCCCCUCCCCAAAGAGUAUUAGUAGGAUUUAUUUUAAAAUAAACAUCUUGGCCAGGCGCAGUGGCUCACAGCUGUAAUCCCAGCACUUUGGGAGGCGAGGUGGGCAGAUCACCUGAGGUCAGGGGUCGAGACCAGCCUGGCCAACAUGGUGAAACCCCGUCUCUACCAAAAAUACAAAAAUUAGCCAGGUGUGGUGGUGGAUGCCUGUAAUCCCAACUACUCAGGAGGCUGAGGCAGGAGAAUCGCUUGAAUCCAGGAGAUAAAGAUGGCAGUGAGCUGGAUCGUGCCACUGUACUCCAGCCUGGGCAACAUCAAGGCUCUGUCUC